This 840-nucleotide ribosomal RNA is filed under the name uncultured archaeon. RNAcentral's name for it is "bacterial SSU rRNA". It matches the Rfam family "Archaeal small subunit ribosomal RNA", at positions 27 to 874 of the family's 1478-position model. The record is from RNAcentral.
CGCCCGAAUCGGAUGAUCUAAGCCAUGCGAGUCAUUGUAGCAAUACAGGCAGACGGCUCAGUAACGCGUAGUCAACCUACCCUAUGGACGGGAAUAACCUCGGGAAACUGAGAAUAAUGCCCGAUAGAACAUUAUUCCUGGAAUGGUUUAUGUUCCAAAUGAUUUAUCGCCGUAGGAUGGGACUGCGGCCUAUCAGUUUGUUGGUGAGGUAAUGGCCCACCAAGACUAUUACAGGUACGGGCUCUGAGAGGAGUGGCCCGGAGAUGGGUACUGAGACACGGACCCAGGCCCUAUGGGGCGCAGCAGGCGAGAAAACUUUGCAAUGUGCGAAAGCACGACAAGGUUAAUCCGAGUGGUUUCUGCUAAAGGAACCUUUUGUCGGUCCUAGAAACACCGAUGAAUAAGGGGUGGGCAAGUUCUGGUGUCAGCCGCCGCGGUAAAACCAGCACCUCAAGUUGUCAGGAUGAUUAUUGGGCCUAAAGCAUCCGUAGCCGGCUCUGUUAGUUUUCGGUUAAAUCUGUGCGCUCAACGUACAGGCUGCCGGGAAUACUGCAGAGCUAGGGAGUGGGAGAGGUAGACGGUACUCGGUAGGAAGGGGUAAAAUCCUUUGAUCUAUUGAUGACCACCUGUGGCGAAGGCGGUCUACCAGAACACGUCCGACGGUGAGGGAUGAAAGCUGGGGGAGCCAACCGGAUUAGAUACCCGGGUAGUCCCAGCUGUAAACUAUGCAAACUCAGUGAUGCAUUGGCUUGUGGCCAAUGCAGUGCUGCAGGGAAGCCGUUAAGUUUGCCGCCUGGGAAGUACGUACGCAAGUAUGAAACUCAAAUGAAUUGACGGAAU